RNAcentral lists this ribosomal RNA (165 nucleotides) under uncultured bacterium. RNAcentral describes it as "partial 16S ribosomal RNA". It matches the Rfam family "Bacterial small subunit ribosomal RNA", at positions 355 to 509 of the family's 1533-position model. The record is from RNAcentral.
UAGGGAAUUUUCGUUCAAUGGGGGCGAACCCUGAACGAGCAAUGCCGCGUGAGCGAAGAAGGUCUUCGGAUUGUUAAAGCUCUGUUGCCGGGGAAAAAGGAAGGAAAGAGGAAAUGCUUUUCUUUGGAUGGUACCCGGCCAGAAAGUCACGGCUAACUACGUGCC